UGUUAAUAACUUAAUAUAUAUUGUUUUCCUUGGUUCCAUGUAUAUUUCAUUAUUAGCAUAUUUUUAUACUAUUUCAUUAUUAUUAAUAAUAAUUAGUUUAAUGGAACUAUUUCGUUAUUAUUAAUAGUUUAUUGAAGUCUUCUUUCAUUAAAGUUGAAGUCUUCUUUUAAAUAGUUUAAUUGUGACUGUGUAGUAGUGUACAACCAGAAUUUUCAAAUAAUAAAGUAAUGGCGUAAUAUUAGACUGUGUAUCUUAGAGUCUUAGACCGUGUAUAUUGUAUACUGUAUAUGAAUAUGAUUUUUUAUGUUGACUCUCUCUUUUGCUAGGUUUCUUUCAAAUAUUUAUAAAAGACAAUGGCUUCUUCAUCUAUUGGUGGUGGUUAGAAGAGGGAUCCUUUUGUGGAAACAUGGCACACCAAGUGCAGUGGCAGGAGAGGUUAUUUGUAACCAUUGCACGAAAACUAUGACAGGUGGCAUAUAUCGACUCAAAUAUCACCUUACAAAGAUCCCUGGAAAGAAUAUUACGGCAUGUGCCAAUGUUCCUGAAGAGGUUUAGAGGGAGGCAAAAGCAAGACUUUUAGGAUAUGAGCAAAAUAAGGCAGAAAAAAAGAGGACAGCAGAGGCAAUGGCAGGGCCAAUGAGAGAUAUCAGUUCUACAGGGUCCGAAAAUAUUGGAGUGGGCAGCAAUACAUCUUAGUUUCUUCAUUCCUCAUAACACUCCUGGUGCGCAACCCAGAUUGUUAGGUACUGCAUGGAUUAAGGAAAUGCAUCAGCAGACAAAAGAGGCAGUGGCUAGCUUUUGGUUUUACAACAAUAUUCCGUUUAGUAUUGUUGAGACUCUGAGAGUCCAUAUUGGGAGCAAAUGGUCAGUGGAUUGACCAUUUCUGGUAAGGGGUUCAAGUCCCCAACUCGUUAUGAGUUGAGUGGGCCAUUAUUGCAGCGUGAGGUCCAAAACACACAUCAAUUGGUGGAACAACAAAGGAGGAAUUGGGAAAAGAAUGGCUGCACCAUUUUAUCUGAUGGGUGGACGGAUAGUAGGAAUAGGACACUCAUAAACUUUCUAGUUGCUUCAGGGGGACAGGUGUAUUUUUAAAAUCGAUUGAUGCCUCAAAUGAAGUGAAGAAUGCAGAAACCUUGUGCAACAUGUUGGAUGAGGUGGUGACCGAAGUGGGAGUGCAAAAUGUUGUUCAGGUUGUGACCGAUAAUGCAACUGCAUAUGUGGCAGCUGGUAAACUUCUACAGGCUAGGCAUCCGACAUUAUUUUGGAGCCCUUGUGCUGCUCAUUGCCUUGAUUUAUUCCUCGAGGACAGAGGGAAACUUAGUUGGGUGAAGAAUGUGGUUGAAGAUGGAAGGGAAAUCACAAAGUACAUCUACAACCACACAUGGGUCUUGGAGCUUAUGAGACAACACAUUGAUGGUAAGGAUCUUGUGCGUUCAGGAGUCACACGUUUUGCCACGAAUUUCCUCAACUUACAGAGCAUAUUACAUGCAUUGCCCAACUUGAAGAGGAUGUUUGUGAGUGAAAGAUGGUUGGAGAGCCCUUAUUGUAGGAAGCUUGAAGCAGAGAAGGUCGUGAAGGUCGUUUUUGAUGAUAGCUUUGGCAAACUCAUGGAGGAGAUCAUCAAUUUGUCAGAGCCGUUGGUGAGGGCUCUACGGAUGGUGGAUGGGGAUAAAAACCCCAUAGGGUAUCUAUAUGAGGCCAUGGAUAAGGCCAAAGAGGCAAUUCAACACAUGUAUGGGUCAGACAGGACCAAAUAUGAACACCCAUAUGGCGCAUAAUUGAUCGAACGUGGAACCAACAACUCCACCAACAUAUCCAUGUUGCUGCCUACUAUUUGAACCCCAAGUUCUUUUACUCCUGCACUUUCAAAAUAGACGAGGAGGUUCAACUUGGCCUUGACACAUGUAUUCAGAGGUUGGUUCCUGAUGAAAAUAUUCAAUACCUCAUUGUUGAUGAGUUGCAGAGGUACAAGAAGGAAGAUGGGCCAUUGUUUUCUUCACCUAUUGGUAUUCGUAAGAGAGACACCCUGCUACCAGAUCUGUGGUGGGAAGAUUAUGGUGCCACAACGCCUAAUCUCCAAAAGCUUGCAAUCCGCAUAUUAUCUCAGCCUUGUAGUGCUUCUGGUUGUGAGCGCAACUGGAGUGUCUUUGAGGCCAUUCACACAAAAAAACGCAAUAGGUUGACUCAAAAGCGCUUGAAUGACCUUGUAUAUGUGUAGUACAACCUUCGACUACAUAAAAAGAGGGUACAAGGGAGCAAUUCAUAUGAAGCACUUGACAUUGAUGAGAUUGAUCCAUACACAGCGGAUUGGAUUGCUGACCCUGAUGGUGCUACUGGUGAUAUUGAUGUGGAUGCAUUUAUCACUGACGCUCAGUUAGAUGAGAUGUAGAGGGAGGCAGUUGAAUGGGCGACAGAGGUGGUAGAACGUGAGGAGGUGGGAGAUGAGUUUGCUGAUCCAAAAGAUGCUGAUUCCUCACCUGUUGAGGAUAUUGUAGUAGCAACAGCUACUGCUGCAACACCAUCUACUUCAGCACCCACUCAACGGCAACAGAGUUCUUUGAGCUUUAGUCGUAGACGCAAUCUAUGAUUUCCAGUUUUCAAUGAUAUGAAACCAUGAACUUAAUAUGUAUUCAGACUUCAUAGAUUGAUUUGUUUUUGUGGUCUAGAGACUCUAGACUCUACAAUAUGUAUUUGACUCAAACGUAUUUACUAUUUUGAACUUGAACUUGUUUUUGGUAUAUCACUUUGCUAUAUGGUAUGUAUUUGACUCAAACUAUGAUUUAUAUAUGAUGGAAACUAGUAAUAUGCUAUUGUGUUCUAUAAAUUUAGUGUGUACAUGUGUUUAUUAGAAUAUUUUAAGAAAUUAUAUAUUUUCAAAUGUUCGAUAAUUUUGCCGAUUUUUUCCCGAUUCCCGAUUUUAAAAAAAUUUUCGGCCAAAAGAUUUAUUGCCAAUAAAGAUAUUUACAUCUUUGCUUUAGAUCAUGCUAACAAAUCACCCUAAAGAAGCGCCUAGCUCAAAAUGCUGGAUCACAAGCACAUCCUGACAAUUUCGCCCAGGUACGAUUAGAAAGAUAGGACCUAAAGAGGAAUUUUGCUCUAGAUCCUUUGGAAGGGUCAGGAGUGAAAUUUUGCUUUUUGGCUCAAAUUCUCCAAUUUUCUUCAUCCCACUUGCUUGCAACUUGCUCAUAAGGUAUAGGUAGGUCAUUCCUCACUCAGUCAAGGCGUAGGAGUAAGGAUUUUAACCCAUGUUAGAAGCAGGAGAGGUUUUUAGAGAAAUUCGCUCUAGACCCUUUGGAAGGGUCAGGAGCGAAUUUUGUGAUUCUGCUCAAAUUCAUGACCUUUUCUCCAAAUUUUUAGUUUAGCCUUGAUCAUUAGGGGUUUUCUAAGGGCAAAAUAGGUCAAUUUUAUACCAAUCAAUGCCUAGAGGACAAGAACUCAUCAUCCAUUGACUUGACCUAUUCAAACCUUCAAAGGGAAAAUCCUUGAUGAUACUCACUCACAAACCUUCAUUCACUUCCUUAACUUAGAGACAUAGGUCUCAAAAGGCAAGACUCCUAACAUGACACAAAGACUUCCUUAAACUCAAUCAAGACUCGACUCUCGAAGCAAGACCCAGGCCUAACCAAGAGAAAGCUUUCAACAAAGACCCUAACCUGGACUACCUACUGACCCAUUUGAGCCUAAGCAGACCAUCCCAUCCUAACGAGCCCUCUGGCGACCCUUCAAUGCAAAGACUAAUAGCCAAGAACCAAAUAGACUAAGCCACGAAGACUAACCCUAGAAAGCAAAAAAGCAGGGGUCCCCAUUUGCAAUGGGGCGAUGUGUGAAUACGUCACAACAAUUUGCAACUUGCAUCUAAUUUAAACAAAUAUUUAUUUUUGGGAUUUAAAUAAUAUUUAAUUUAUUUAAAUAUGAGAGAAAGGAUUUUAGGAUAAGAUGAAUUAAUUAAACAAAUAUGUUUUAUUUAUUUAAUUAAUAGUUGAAUGAUGGUUUAAUUUUAAAAUAAAUAUCAAAUAUCUAUUUAAUUAAGUGGACAGAAAUAGGUGUCUACAGUAAGGUCUUGAAAACACGGUCAGCACAGUGAAGGCUGGAUGUUAGAACUCAUGCUGAGAAUGAGAUUGCUGGGUAAAAAUCCACCCCUAAAACAAGCUCACACUAGGGUACAUGUCUUGGACCUCAGUGUUAUUACUGUGGGGUGUCUAAAACUGGAAGUUGUCAUUGUAUGUUGUAUGUUAAACAAUAAGAAGACCACUAUUAGCAUCACCUGCUAUCAAUUCUAUGAAAAUGUUUCAGAUGUCAUGUCGUGGAUGAUAAAUAUGGGUAAGUUUUAUGGUGUUUUUAAUUAAUGAAGCCUAUAGGAUGCUAAAUGUCUGGAUUAGUAUAAAUUUCACAUAUCAACUUAAUAUAGUUGUUGUACGUCAAAUAAUAGGAAAUGAUAUCUCAAUGCAAUAUCAAGAUGUAAUUUAAUGAUCAUAAAAAAAUUGUAUUUAUUUUCUAUGCAGGAUUUUAAUUUGAAGUGUUUAUGCUUUUCGCACAUUAUUAGCAUGGAAUUUUAAUUAUUUUGGUGUUGGGACAUUAAUUGGUUAAUCCUGUGGCCCUUAUUUCCCAUAUGCUAGGCAUAUGCCUUUCUGUUAUCACUGUGUUUAUUUUUAGUUUUUAAAAUACUUGCGAGUUCAGUACUGCUUCUCAUUGCAAGAUAAUAAAAAAGAUGAUCAAUUUGG
Cryptomeria japonica (Japanese cedar) is the source of this 4721-nucleotide long non-coding RNA. RefSeq lists it as uncharacterized. NCBI's taxonomy places the organism in Eukaryota, Viridiplantae, Streptophyta, Pinopsida, Cupressales, Cupressaceae. The record is from RefSeq and is a predicted model, not a curated record. The transcript has 3 exons.